Molecule: ribosomal RNA, 116 nt
Filed under: Candidatus Sericytochromatia bacterium
Lineage: Bacteria; Bacillati; Candidatus Sericytochromatia
Description: partial 23S ribosomal RNA
Rfam family: Bacterial large subunit ribosomal RNA
Source: RNAcentral
CUCCCAUCCGGUCAACGGAGUAAGACCCCACCAAGAUAAGGUGGUUGAUAGGCGGCAGGUGGAAGGUCAGUAAUGGCCGCAGCCGAGCCGUACUAAUCGGUCGAGGGUUUAACCAC